This 406-nucleotide long non-coding RNA is filed under the name Homo sapiens (human). Its description in RNAcentral is "HSALNT0341551". The record is from RNAcentral. Lineage: Eukaryota; Metazoa; Chordata; Mammalia; Primates; Hominidae.
CACUCCAGCCUAGGUAACAGAGCAGGACCCCAUCUCAGUCAAUCAAUCAAUCUCAGUGGUUGAACUACCCUUGAUAUGGUUCAGCUCUGUAUCCCCAACCAAAUCUCAUGUCCAAUUGCAAUUCCCAGUGUUGAGGGAGGGACCUGGUGGGAGAUGAUUGGCUCAUGGCGGCUGACGUCCCCCUUGCUGGUCUCGUGAUAGUGAGUGAGCGCUCAUGGGAUCUGGUUGUUUAGAAGCAUGCAGCACCUCCUGCUUCACUCUCUCUGUCUCUCCUGCUCCACCAUGGCCAGAAACGUGCCUGCUUCCCCUUCGCCUUCUGCCGUGAUUGUCAGUUUCUUGAGGGCUCCCCAGCCAUGCUUCCUGUACAGCCUGCAAAACUGCAUGGGGUUUCUCUCUGUUACCAAAG